RNAcentral lists this ribosomal RNA (269 nucleotides) under uncultured Planctomycetales bacterium. Its description in RNAcentral is "partial 16S ribosomal RNA". It matches the Rfam family "Bacterial small subunit ribosomal RNA", at positions 565 to 832 of the family's 1533-position model. The record is from RNAcentral. Lineage: Bacteria; Pseudomonadati; Planctomycetota; Planctomycetia; Planctomycetales.
GAGCACGUAGGUGGGUUUGUAAGUCAGAUGUGAAAGCCUUCUGUUCAACGGAAGAAUUGCAUCUGAAACUGCGAGUCUUGAGUGUUGGAGGGGAGAAUGGAACUUCUGGUGGAGCGGUGAAAUGCGUAGAUAUCAGAAGGAACUCCGGCGACGAAAGCGAUUCUCUGGCCUAUUACUGACACUCAGUGUGCGAAAGCUAGGGGAGCAAACGGGAUUAGAUACCCCGGUAGUCCUAGCCGUAAACGAUGGGCACUAAGUAGAGGGGUUUU